GUGCUCACUUCAGCAGCACAUAUAUGAAAAAGUGGAACAAUACAGAGAGGACUAGCAUGGCCCCUGCACAAGGAUGACACGCAAAUUCAUGAACCAUUCCAAAAACAC
This is a small nuclear RNA of Leptonychotes weddellii (Weddell seal), 108 nucleotides long. NCBI's taxonomy places the organism in Eukaryota, Metazoa, Chordata, Mammalia, Carnivora, Phocidae. The record is from RefSeq and is a predicted model, not a curated record.